AUAAAGUUGUGAGUACCAGAAGAUGUUGGGACGGUAUCACUUCCUUCGCAGUAUGCUUUUUAUUUUCCAUGCAUGUAUAGAAAAAAAAAGAAAAAGAAAAAAAGAAAAAAAAACAAAAAAACAAAAGAAAAAAAAACAAAAGAAAAAAAAGAAAAAGAAAAAGAAAAAAUCAAAAAAAAAAAUCAAAAAAUCAAAAAUCAAAUCAUUCAGGUUUCAGCUCAUCUAGCCUGAACUACGAAAGACCUGCUCCCCACACUCACGGGAGUACGUAGGCAGCCAUUUAUGGUGCGAUCAAACGAAAUCAAACACUUCCCAAACGAAACCAAACACUUCCCAAACGAAACCAAAC
Molecule: long non-coding RNA, 349 nt
Filed under: Panax ginseng (ginseng)
Lineage: Eukaryota; Viridiplantae; Streptophyta; Magnoliopsida; Apiales; Araliaceae
Description: long non-coding RNA (PGIN_LNC010112)
Source: RNAcentral